GGAGGGUCUCCACAUCCGGAUAAAUUGCAGAUUCUGACUCUUCAGGUGUUCGGUGGACCAGAGUCUCUGAAUCUGAUGAGUCUCAGGAAAGGGACAGAGAUCCAGUACCAGGAGUCUCAGGAGGCCCUUCAGUUCCUGGUAGUGAAGAGGAAAGUGUCCUGCAUGUCCUGGAAGGAGGACUGUGAAAAACACUUUGGAGGCGGCGCUCACCCAAGGGGAGCCAAGUUCAGUUCCAGCGGCAAGAUCGUGAAGCCCAAUGGCGAGAAGCCAGACGAGUUCGAGUCCGGCAUCUCCCAGGCUUUCCUGGAGCUGGAGAUGAACUCGGACCUCAAGGCCCAGCUGCGGGAGCUGAACAUCACCGCGGCCAAGGAAAUUGAAGUUGGUGGCGGUCGGAAAGCUAUUAUCAUCUUCGUCCCAGUUCCUCAACUCAAGUCUUUCCAAAAAAUCCAGGUGCAGCUGGUACGCGAGCUGGAGAAGAAGUUCAGUGGGAAGCAAGUGGUCUUCAUCGCUCAGAGGAGGAUUCUGCCGAAGCCAACUCGAAAAAGCCAAACAAAGAAAAAGCAGAAGCAUCCCAGGAGCCGCACCUUGACCCCUGUGCACGACGCCAUCCUUUUGGACCUGGUCUUCCUGCGCGAGUUCCUGGGCGUGGGCAAGAGGAUCCACGUGAAGCUGGAUGGCAGCCAGCUCAUCAAGAUGCAUCUGGACAAAGCGCAGCAGAACAACGUCGAGCACAAGGUUGAAACUUUUUCUGAUGUCUAUAAGAAGCUCACGGGCAAGGACGAUAAUUUUGAAUUCCUAGAGUUCAGCUGUAAAGAAAAAUGACUAAAUAAAG
Molecule: RNA transcript, 832 nt
Organism: Myotis lucifugus (little brown bat)
Lineage: Eukaryota; Metazoa; Chordata; Mammalia; Chiroptera; Vespertilionidae
Gene name: 40S ribosomal protein S7 pseudogene
Exons: 3
Source: RefSeq, a predicted model, not a curated record